AUCACAGGAGAGAAUCACUGGAGAGAAUCACAGGAGAGAAUCACAGGAGAGAAUCACAGGAGAGAAUCACAGGAGAGAAUCACUGGAGAGAAUCACAGGAGAGAAUCACAGGAGAGAAUCACAGGAGAGAAUCACAGGAGAGAAUCACAGGAGAGAAUCACAGGAGAGAAUCACAGGAGAGAAUCACAGGAGAGAAUCACAGGAGAGAAUCACAGGAGAGAAUCACAGGAGAGAAUCACAGGAGAGAAUCACAGGAGAGAAUCACAGGAGAAAAUCACAGGAGAGAAUCACUGGAGAGAAUCACAGGAGAGAAUCACAGGAGAGAAUCACAGGAUAGCAUCACAGGAUAGCAUCACAGGAGAGAAUCAUAGGAGAGAAUCACAGGAGAGAAUCACAGGAGAGAAUCACAGGAGAGAAUCACUGGAGAGAAUCACAGGAGAGAGUCACUGGAGAGAAUCAUAGGAGAGAAUCACAGGAUAGCAUCACAGGAGAGCAUCACUGAGGACAGGGGAGAAUGGCCAUCUACUUCCAAACAUGAUUUGUCCUAUUUGAAUAAACCUAUUUUCCUCCCCCUGAUUUGCUUUGAGGUCUGUAUUAUUAAAGAAUAACACGAACUGCUAACAUUUGGUGACGUGAUCCGGAUGAAUUGAUCUCAACAAAAACAAGAAAAACGUAUCAACUUUGUGUUGAUCCAGAAAAAAGAGAGAAUGCUGAGCGCAAACCACUUUGGGGAGUCAACUCUUAAUCUCCUGAUUGAUGGCAUAAGUGCAGGGUGAGUCCAUUUUAAAAGAACCAAAUCAGGUUAAAGUUAGUGCGUGCAAUGAGUGAUAUGUAUCGGUUAUGUACAAGGGGUCGAGUCCUUUGUUCCAUUACAGACUUCCUUUGUUCUCUAUGAAAAGGUUUGAGGCCUUUCUCUUUGUUCUCUAUUAUAGGGGUUCAAGUCCUCUAUUAAAAGGUUAGAGUCUUUUCAUUUUGGUGAAACCUUCUUGUCGCAUAGAAGUGAGUUGCUCGUUGAGUAGCAAUUUUUACAGGUGUGGUUAAUGUAGGCCUUCAAAAAGCUUUUUGAAGUGAACACAUAUUUGUAUGGGUAGCCAAGCCCUACAGAAACAUGUUGGGUUCUAGAAGAGGUUUGAGUUCUUAAAAGGGGUUACAUUUUGGGGUUAAUUAAAUAUAUAAACAUAGAUAUAUAUAUAUAUUAUACAGCUUUUGAAGUUAAUAUAAUGUCAUUGUAAAGUGAGAAAACCACUUACUGUCUAGUGAUAUGAAGAACCAUUUCAGAGUAGAGAAGUGUAGGCAAGAGAUAAUAAAGAAAUAUUCAUUCAUUGUUGACGAAGAUGGAAUAUGGAAUCUGUCUGAUACACAAAAAGCUUGGGGAAAAAUUCAGAGGAUGUCUAAAUGUCUGACAAAAACAAGAUGGUCUUUAAGUGUUUUAGCCAAAGUAAGAAAAUGGGAUGAGAAAUUAUUUCUGGACAAUCAUGACAGGACAUUGAAGAGAGAUACAGAUAGUUUGAAAGCUCUUGGUGAACAGAUCAAAACCUUGAAAGAAGAUAUUCAACAAUUACAGAAAAGAGUCGUAAAAACCAACUUGACCCCCAUCUGCGGAUCAUUUGUUCCCUCAAUCCAUCCUCAGGCUGAGUUGUGCAAGGCAGAUCAGGUUUCAAGCAUCUAGUCAGCACUGCCUGGCUUUGAAUCAACAGAUACUGACAGCGGUGACUAACGGAUGGUAAUAGAGGGGAGGUACGUGAGGCAACGUUGGCUCCCUCUGCUGGGUAUACAGGAGCUGGGCACCCCGACUCGGACAGCUCCAAGUGGAGGUAAUUAGAGGAAAGUGCCAACCAGCCGUGGAGGCUAAAUAAAAGGAGCCCGAUGGCACACCGUGAGGGAGAGACAGACACCAAGCAAAAGAGGGAAGAAAGACUGAGCUAAACCUAAGUGAUUUCUUUGAUAUAUUUAUUUAUUGUCUGAGUAAAGUUGUUUUUGCGGACAAAAGCCUCCCUGUCUCUGUGUCAAUCUCUGCACGAUCAACCCAACACCCCACGGUUUACCACAAUGUUUUCCUUAAGGGUCUGACCAAUGCAAACACCAAUUGGGGAGAGAUAACCAAAUGUGUUCAAAGAACGAAAGAACCGUUUGUUGAAUUUGAAGAAAGGUUUAGAGCAGAGGAGGUUCGACACAGUGGCUUACUGUUCGCAGAGGAGGUUCGACACAGUGGCUUACUGUUCGCAGAGGAGGUUCGACACAGUGGCUUACUGUUCGCAGAGGAGGUUCGACACAGUGGCUUACUGUUCGCAGAGGAGGUUCGACACAGUGGCUUACUGUUCGCAGAGGAGGUUCGACACAGUGGCUUACUGUUCGCAGAGGAGAAGACAUUUGAAGUAUAUUUCUUUUAAAAAAUGGUCUGGGGGAGUGUAAGAACAUUUUGGAGAUAAAUACACAACGCAGAGACCGAGGUCGAGAGGUCAGUACAGUACUAAUGAUUAAGGGAAAUAGUGUUUUUUCUGUAAUGGGGGAUUAAUGCGGAGACAUGGCAGGAAUCUGUCUAUAUAUUGACUCUGAAAUAGGAUACUUGUUGUUUGGCCAUUGGCCCAGUUUUAUUGCAAGUUAUUCUAAUUGGUCAACCACAGGGCUGGGUUAUAAACUACAUCCUGUCCCUUUGUUCACUGGAGAGCACCACUGGAGAGCACCACUGAAGACAGGGGAGAAUGACCAUCUACUUCCAAACAUGAUUUGUCCUAUUUUAAUAAACCUAUUUUCUUCCCCCUGAUUUGCAUUGGGACAUCAACUGCUAACAUUAGUACCAUUAAUGAUGUAACUACUGCAGAAAACACAUUUCUCCAAACCUCUGGAUGUGGUGUGAAAUCAACACCCUGACCAUAGAUGAUGUCUGCUUCAUUGAGAUGCAUGGGUAGCAGGUAGCCUAGCAGUUAAGACCACCAUAACCGAAAUGUCUCUGGUUUGAAUUCCCAAGCUGACUAGGUGAAAAAUCUGUUGAUGUGCCCUUGAGCAAGACACAACCCUAAUUGUGCCUGUAAGUCACUCUGGAUAACAAUGUCUGGGCACUGCAUCUCAGUGCUAGAGACGUCACUGCAGACCCUGGUUCGAUUCCAUGCUGUAUCACAACCGGCCGUGAUUGGGAGUCCCAUAGGGCGGUGCACAAUUAGCCCAGCGUUGUCCGGGUUAGGCUUUGGCUGAGGUAGGCCGUCAUUGUCAAUAAGAAUUUGUUCUUAACUGACUAGUUAAAUAAAGGUAAAAUAGUCUGCUAAAAUGUAAUGCAAAGCCCUGCAUUGAGGCUGGCCACAAUGACCUUUGCCCUCCGGUGUUUGUCUAUGUUCAAAACAGUGCCAUUUGAGUCUUACAAUUGAUCUGCAGAGAACUUACAAAUUAUGCCACAACAGAUGCAGAGCCUUAAAGAAGAAUAUAAAAAUGUAAUCAGUCACUGUUUUCAUAUAGUCAAACUGUGUGAUAGGUAAUACAUACAACCUG
Oncorhynchus keta (chum salmon) is the source of this 3483-nucleotide long non-coding RNA. RefSeq lists it as uncharacterized. NCBI's taxonomy places the organism in Eukaryota, Metazoa, Chordata, Actinopteri, Salmoniformes, Salmonidae. The transcript has 3 exons. The record is from RefSeq and is a predicted model, not a curated record.